Macrobrachium nipponense is the source of this 338-nucleotide long non-coding RNA. RefSeq lists it as uncharacterized. The transcript is spliced from 3 exons. The record is from RefSeq and is a predicted model, not a curated record. Lineage: Eukaryota; Metazoa; Arthropoda; Malacostraca; Decapoda; Palaemonidae.
UUGGUGUGCGAGUCUUCGUCGAGUCUCCCGGAAUCGGCUCUUUCCUGGCGCUCAGGGCCCCUGACGCUGCAGGGGGCCACUUCGACGUAUACCCAGGGGCUCUACGGCGGCACAGUCACCAGGUCUGAGAUGAAGGUGAAGGCUCUCAUCGAGGACAAUGGCAGGACCUUCCAUUGCGAUGCCCAGAACGGCCUGGGAGUCGUUCUCUCCACAAACAUAUCACUGAAUGUGCUCCACGGGCCAGUGUGGAUGUCGGUGCCGAGCGGAACCAUCGACGUCCAUGAAAAAGAGGACCUGUUAGUGACGGCUUCGGCCUCUGCAAAUCCUCCGCCAGUGAA